RNAcentral lists this long non-coding RNA (801 nucleotides) under Nicotiana tabacum (common tobacco). RNAcentral describes it as "long non-coding RNA (NTAB_LNC014249)". The record is from RNAcentral. Lineage: Eukaryota; Viridiplantae; Streptophyta; Magnoliopsida; Solanales; Solanaceae.
GACUUUUCAUAGCUUAUAAUAGACGUGGCCACUCAUCGAACUCUCAAAUUCUUUAUUUUUCUUCUUCAUCUAGAACUAGAACUAGAAUUUUCCCUCACUUCAGUUCCCCAUCUCUAGCAUCUUCGUUGUCUUCUUUGUUGGGUCUCACAAUGUUCAUGUUAGUAUUUACUCUCUUUUUAAUUUGUUUUUCAUUUUUUGUUGCUUGUUGCUUGUUGCAGUGGAGUUUUGCUUCUUUUUCCCCCUUUAUUUGUUAUGCGUAUUUUAUAUUUCUUUUAGUUUUCUCUUCUUUUGUUUUCCUUCAUCAUUACCUAGUUGGUGUUGUUGCUUUCUUUCCAUUGUCGCUUUUCUUAACUUUUUUGUAUUAGGAAAAAUUGCAUUUAUAUAUGCAAGUGACAUAUUGAGACAUGUGGACUGAUCAAAUAGUCAAAGAAUUAUAAUUAGUCAAGCGGCACGGGUAGCAGUAGAAACGAGCAAAGGCAAAUAAAGAGGCGGGGGAGGACAUUUGAAGGAUUCAGCGCCCGUACCUAUUUAAAUCAUUUAUCAAAAGGAAUGGAUCUGACCAUAAUAAAGAGCGCAGAUACGGAAUUCGACAGGCAUUAAAUACUGGAUACGUUAGAGAAUUUGUAUUGAUUACAACGAUUGUGUAACGUAGCAUUGAAUGUCUUUAAUUAUUCAUAAUAGCCUCGUUAUGAUUUGGAAGAAAGGCAUAUCUUCAAGAUACCUAUAAAAGGGAGGAAUCUGGUCACUUGUAAAAGCAAGAAACAAUCGGAAUAUACUUUGAUUCACUUGUUUUUCUCCUGA